RNAcentral lists this ribosomal RNA (253 nucleotides) under uncultured bacterium. RNAcentral describes it as "partial 16S ribosomal RNA". It matches the Rfam family "Bacterial small subunit ribosomal RNA", at positions 524 to 776 of the family's 1533-position model. The record is from RNAcentral.
UACAGAGGUCUCAAGCGUUGUUCGGAUUCAUUGGGCGUAAAGGGUGCGUAGGUGGCGCGGUAAGUCGGGUGUGAAAUUUCGGAGCUUAACUCCGAAACUGCAUUCGAUACUGCCGUGCUUGAGGACUGGAGAGGAGACUGGAAUUUACGGUGUAGCAGUGAAAUGCGUAGAUAUCGUAAGGAAGACCAGUGGCGAAGGCGGGUCUCUGGACAGUUCCUGACACUGAGGCACGAAGGUCAGGGGAGCAAACGGG